Molecule: long non-coding RNA, 592 nt
Organism: Alligator mississippiensis (American alligator)
Lineage: Eukaryota; Metazoa; Chordata; Crocodylia; Alligatoridae
Exons: 6
Source: RefSeq, a predicted model, not a curated record
UUAAGAUGCUUCUGGGGGCUGUACCAUGGCAGUACCCACGUCCUCCCAGGAAAAGGAUUUUGGACAGACGACCUCCCGGUGCCCUCCCGAGGGCAUGGACCAAGGAUGAUGCCAUGUCUGGGAAGAAGCCAGGGCAGGCAGAGACAGGAAAAACUUGGAGUCCUGGUCAGCUUUGACCCACUGGGAAGGGGAGGAUCCAGCAUGUCUUGGAGCCAAUGCAAAAGAUUCCAGGCAAGAACUGUGCAGCUUGGUGCAGCAUCCGAAAUCUGCUUUCUAUGCCACUGAAGAUGAUUCUACGGCUGUACUAUGGCAGUUCCCACGCCUCUCUGGGAACACGGACUGUGACCCGCGGCCCCCAGCUCCCUCCUGGACCUGGUCUGCAGGACAUCAAGCAUGAAGGAGUGGAUGUGGGGGCUGUAUGAUGUAGGGCAGAAAAUCAGCACCAGAAAGCUACUCCCUCUGUUCUGCCCCUUCCCUCUCCAGCCCUCACCACCCUCCCUGCCUCUCCUUUCCCCCUAUAUAUGAUGUUAGGUUAGGCUAGGUUAAGUUAUAUUAUAUUGUUUUAUUUCCUAUUAUAUUGUAUUGUGGUGAA